Molecule: non-coding RNA, 5001 nt
Organism: Equus caballus (horse)
Lineage: Eukaryota; Metazoa; Chordata; Mammalia; Perissodactyla; Equidae
Source: RefSeq, a predicted model, not a curated record
AAACAACUACUGUCUGUAAAUGACAAAAAGACUUUAAUAAAAAUAUCCUUCACACCUUUCCUUAUCAAAAAAACACAUUCUACUUUCCUUACCUACUUUUCAUACACAGUUGUUUCUUUCACCCUUAUAUUUCUAAGUAGUAUUAAUUCUAUAUAAUGAUUAGAAUUCUUAACCUUUAGAAUCCUUAAUUUCUAGUGAAAACUAAGAAGUAAGCAAUUAUGGACUGUUACACUGGUGUUCUGUGGAUUGGCACAUUUAGAAAUACCUUUUAUAAUUUCUAGAAGUAUAUUUUUCUUCAGUAAAUUUUUCAAUGUGACAUAAAACACAUUUACCAAUAGACCCAAAUGUCUUUAGUUUUUCUGUAAUAAGAAGCCAAAAGUAGAUAAACGUAUCAAAUAAUUAAUGUUUCAUUAUUUUAUCUUAUUUGGAAGUGACCUAGAUAUUCAAUAAAUAUCCAGCACUUAACUUAGUAUAAUUUUUCCCUAAUUUCCAAGUAGCCUCCCCCCCCCCUUUUUUUUUUGUUCUUCUGAUAAGAACUACCUCCCUGAAGUUUGCAUUUCAAAGAAAAAGCUCCCAGUUCCAGAAAACACUGGGUAGAACAUUCACAUCUCAAAGGCACAGAGAAAGGAUGUAAGAUCCACCCAGGAGGACUCUUAUUCCCUAAAUCCAGAUGUUUUACAAUAUCUGCAAGCCUUUUCAGAUGAAUAGGGGAGUUUGGGAGUUGGUAAAUAAAAGAGAUGGGCUUUGAAUUGUUUCUAGAGCUGCAUUUACAUUCUGUCAAGAUUCUAUUUGUAACAUAAAUACAGUUUUUAAUUCCUCAACCUGAAUGAUAUCAAGAGGCUGACUCUCUCACUCAACUACACGAUCUUCAGUUCCCUUCUUUAUAUAAAGGAGAUUUCCUAUGUUCUAUAUUUAGAACUGUGUGUCUUUGUGAUUUAGUAAAUCUUUCACAGUGGCUUCAGAAUGUUUCUCUUUCCCUCUGGGUACAUAGUUUCAUUUCAGCUUAGAGAAGGCCUUAGAAAGAGUUCCUCUGAGGCUCUGAAUAUCAGCUGCCAAUUUGGCCAACUUCUGACCAUAGAGCUCACUAAAUAAAUCCUUUCAAAUAUCUUAUUAACAGGUUUUAGGUGGGACAAACAGUAAAUAUUCCUGGCAGUAUUGAACAACCUUUUCUUUUCUUUUUCUUUUCAACCAAAGAUAUCCCUAACAAAUGACUCAAAACCAGUAGCCUUUUAUGGCUUAACCAUGGAUGCAAGAGGCAUCCCCAAGAGGGUGCAAAAGAACCACAGCCAUUUCCAAAGAUAACAAAAGAAAGAAAGACUUGGACAAUUCCCCUGAUAGCUGGCAACAGUUGGUAGGACACUAGCCACAAAUGAGGUGCAACCCACAUUUCUGUCCAGUCACAUUUUUGGAGCCCCCAACCUGACAGCUGAUCUGCCUGUACCUAAAGAACUGACAACCUGAGUGCCCCAACAGACAGAAAGCCAAGCCAAGUUCUCAGGACACAAAGCAAGACAAAUGAGAAAGAAACAGCUGUCACUGGGAGAGAAAGGAUGGAUAACCAGUGGAUACCCAAAUGCAAAUUCAUGAGCCCCAAUUCAAAGAUCUAAUUCUUACAAAUGGUUUUCUCCUGCCAAUCCAAAUUUGGAAAGGAAGAGACAACGUGAAAUUUUACCUUCCUCUCUCAACCAGGCACCAUAGAUAGAGACCCAGGAGAGCUGACUUUGGUAAAAAUUUUCACCCUUUGUGAGCUUCUGCCAGUUUUCUCAGGAUCCCAUCUGUAGGUUCUGGAGUGAGUGGAGUGUCCCAGCAGGUCUCAUCCUGGUCACCAGAAACUGGAGAGGAGGAAAAAUAAUUUUCCCUCUAUCCUUUACAGUAAGCGCUUGGCUGAGACUCCUUUUUCUCUAGGACACCUCAUAAAUGGAUAAACUUACCUAGGUUAAAAGUUCUCCACUGUGGCCACUGUAAUUUAAGAUUAACUUUGGUAAGGUUAACUUACUUGUUCAGCCUUAAAACAAAAUUUUAUUCACCUGAGCCCUCACACUGGCCCCAGUCCAGUUUAAGUUGGACCCAGUCUGAUUCCAACUGGUUUCUGGAUCCAGUCUGGAAAAAGAAAUGCUCGAAUAAAGUCUGAAAGUUCAUAAUGCAAAACCUAUGGAGCUAGGAUCCAAGAAGGAUUACCCAAGACCUUCAGAGGCAGCGAGAAAGCAGCAAGCUCAAUGAACUCAGCGGGUACCUACAUCUGGUUGCUCAUUCUUCCUGGGAGUCGUCAGGGGUCUCCCUCCUUUGUUCCCUCUUCUGACACCAGAACUAUUAACACGUAAACUGAGGCAUAUUAAAAAUUUUAAGAGUUUCUCUGAGCAAACAUCGAUUCAAAUUGGGCAGUGGCAAACCGGAAGUGGUUAGGUGCCCUCCAUCAACAGGCACUCAGGGAGAGACUCAUAUAGAGAAAAGGCAGAGGCAAAGCUAGGAAAUUAUUAAUUGGCUGUAUCUUAGAGCCUAAGUUUGUGAUUGGUUGUCUUUGGGUUUUGGAUUUCAUAACCUUGUGAGCUUUAUAGGCUUAGAUUUUGGUUUGCUUACAUAGGCCACCAUGGCAUUAGAGCCACCUCAGUCUAAUGGCCUCCUUGUUAAUUAAUUUAACAAUAGUUACCAAGAGGAUUUUCUACUUGGUUUACUCCACUUGCUUUUGAGCCUGUGGUGAAAAAUUCUACCUUCUGAGUUAGUGUGGGUGGAGAGGGCCUAGGAUGAUGUCAAAUCACAGUCUUGCCUCCUCCCCUCAGGAAGUAAAGUCCACUGGCAGGAAUGCCUAAAUUGGCUCUAACCUUCCCAGCUCUUACAAUGCUUGCUUGUUUUCACAGUACAGCAGAAGGAAACACCUUGGAAAAAGAGUAACAUUCUAGAAAAUUGUACGAUUUAUUUUUCUUUCCAGAUUCCCUCAUCUGUGUAGGAUUCCUUUGCUGAACACCACAUCAAAGGGAUCUUCCGCAUUUAAAGCAGGCGACGUAUCAUGCUGAAGAGGGAAGAGAAGGUCCGACUUUACACUAAAACCCCAGAUGGAGGUUGGGGAUGGAUGGUUGUAUUUCAUUUCUUCCUGGUAAAUGUGUUUGUGAUGGGGAUGACCAAGACUUUUGCAAUUUUCUUUGUGGUUUUUCAAGAAGAAUUUGAAGGCACCUCAGAGCAAAUUGGCUGGAUUGGAUCCAUCAUGUCAUCACUUCGUUUUUUUGGAGGUCCCCUGGUUGCCAUUAUGUCUGACAUAAUUGGAGAGAAAAGUGCCUCCCAUCUUGGGGCUUUCCUUGUUUUUGGUGGAUAUCUGCUCAGCAGCCAGGCUACAAGCAUUCCCUUUCUUUGUGUGACUAUGGGACUUUUACCUGGUUUGGGUUCCGCUUUCCUAUACCAAGUAGCUGCAGUGGUAACUACCAAAUACUUCAAAAGACGAUUAGCUCUUUCUACAGCUAUUGCCCGUUCUGGGAUGGGACUGACGUUUCUGUUAGCACCUUUUACGAAAGUCCUGAUGGAUCUGUAUGACUGGACAGGUGCCCUUAUAUUAUUUGGAGCUAUCACAUUGAAUUUGGUGCCUUCUAGUAUGCUCUUAACACCCAUCCAGAUCAAAAGUGAGAGCAAUUCUGAUAUUAAAGAUAAAGGGAACAGUUUGCCUGCAAGUGGUCCAGAGGCAGGGUGUGGGCCAGAAACAGCAUCCUGCCGUGAGAUACAAGAGUCUACCACGAGGGACAGCACUGUGCAGAAGGCUGGACAACCCAGCACAACAUUAACGGUUUCACAAAGUCAAAACAAAGAGGUCAACAAUGGGCCCGAGAGAAACAGACUGUUCCUAAUAACUAAGGAAGAAAGUCACAAGAAAAAGGCUAUGUCAUGGAGCUGUAAACAAAAAUUCUUUGAUAUUUCUCUUUUUAAGAAUCCUUUCUUUUCCAUAUUUACUUGGACUUUUCUCCUCAGUCAGUUGGCAUAUUUUAUCCCUACCUUUCACCUGGUAGCCAGAGCCAAAACACUGGGGAUUGACAUGAUGGAUGCCUCCUACCUCAUUUCUGUAGCUGGUAUCACUGAGACAGUCAGUCAGAUUAUCUCUGGAUGGGUUGCUGAUCAAAACUGGAUGAACAAGUAUCAUUACCACAAGUCUUACCUCAUCCUCUGCGGCAUCACUAACCUGCUUGCUCCUUUAGCCACCACAUUUCCACUACUUAUGACCUAUACCAUCUUCUUUGCCAUUUUCUCUGGUGGUUACCUGGCAUUGAUACUUCCUGUACUGGUGAGUAGACACACUCAUUAACAUUGUGAAACAAUUGAGUAAAAGCAAGUAUUAAUAAUCAUCUCCCCCAAAAGAAGACAUAUUUUGUAUUAAUUUUAUAAUUUAAAAAAAUCAUACCCAAGGCCUCAGAAACCCUGUAGCUAUAUCCUGUCCAGUUAUUCAUCUUACCUUGGGGGGAGGGAUGAUGAGAGGACUAUCCACAUGGGACAGGAAAGAAAUGAAAGCAAGAAAGGGAUCAGCAGGAUUCCACUCUGCUUCUCAGUUUCCUAGGUUAGGCUGCGUCCUCAGCCAUAGGUGGAUUCAAGAAUACCACUGUCAGGUCAGACUGUAAAUACCAUUGCCUAAUAGAGAAGAGCAGUGAGGUUCAGGGAAAAAAUAGUACCCCUGAAUCAUCUAAAAGAUCAAAACAAAACAAAAACCAAUGUUCCUUACUAAUAAAAUGAAAAUAUUCCCCACCCAGUGAAACUACUGUUUCCUAUUUGCCUCAGCUCUUUCAUAAUUUGAGCGCAAAAGGCCAUCCAAAUCACCUCAGAAGUCAGCUGUUCACAGUUUGAGAUGAUAUGAAUAGUAUUUGUCCCUUUGUAGGCAGAGGACUCUACAGAAUUUCACCCUUAAUAUGGCUCACAUUGGAUUCUAAUUCCUACAGGUUGAUCUGUCUGGGAAUUCCACUGUACACAGGUUUUUGGGACUUGCCAGUUUCUUUGCUGGGAUGGCUAUUCUUGCUGGACCACCUAUAGCAG